This 500-nucleotide ribosomal RNA is filed under the name uncultured bacterium. Its description in RNAcentral is "bacterial SSU rRNA". It matches the Rfam family "Bacterial small subunit ribosomal RNA", at positions 29 to 524 of the family's 1533-position model. The record is from RNAcentral.
AUGAACGCUGGCGGCAGGCCUAACACAUGCAAGUCGAGCGGAUGAUGGGAGCUUGCUCCCGGAUUCAGCGGCGGACGGGUGAGUAAUGCCUAGGAAUCUGCCUGGUAGUGGGGGACAACGUUUCGAAAGGAACGCUAAUACCGCAUACGUCCUACGGGAGAAAGCAGGGGACCUUCGGGCCUUGCGCUAUCAGAUGAGCCUAGGUCGGAUUAGCUAGUUGGUGGGGUAAAGGCCUACCAAGGCGACGAUCCGUAACUGGUCUGAGAGGAUGAUCAGUCACACUGGAACUGAGACACGGUCCAGACUCCUACGGGAGGCAGCAGUGGGGAAUAUUGGACAAUGGGCGAAAGCCUGAUCCAGCCAUGCCGCGUGUGUGAAGAAGGUCUUCGGAUUGUAAAGCACUUUAAGUUGGGAGGAAGGGCAGUAAGUUAAUACCUUGCUGUUUUGACGUUACCAACAGAAUAAGCACCGGCUAACUUCGUGCCAGCAGCCGCGGUAAU